UCAGGAUGAACGCUGGCGGCGUGCCUAAUACAUGCAAGUCGAGCGAACAGACGAGGAGCUUGCUCCUCUGACGUUAGCGGCGGACGGGUGAGUAACACGUGGAUAACCUACCUAUAAGACUGGGAUAACUUCGGGAAACCGGAGCUAAUACCGGAUAAUAUAUUGAACCGCAUGGUUCAAUAGUGAAAGACGGUUUUGCUGUCACUUAUAGAUGGAUCCGCGCCGCAUUAGCUAGUUGGUAAGGUAACGGCUUACCAAGGCAACGAUGCGUAGCCGACCUGAGAGGGUGAUCGGCCACACUGGAACUGAGACACGGUCCAGACUCCUACGGGAGGCAGCAGUAGGGAAUCUUCCGCAAUGGGCGAAAGCCUGACGGAGCAACGCCGCGUGAGUGAUGAAGGUCUUCGGAUCGUAAAACUCUGUUAUUAGGGAAGAACAAAUGUGUAAGUAACUAUGCACGUCUUGACGGUACCUAAUCAGAAAGCCACGGCUAACUACGUGCCAGCAGCCGCGGUAAUACGUAGGUGGCAAGCGUUAUCCGGAAUUAUUGGGCGUAAAGCGCGCGUAGGCGGUUUUUUAAGUCUGAUGUGAAAGCCCACGGCUCAACCGUGGAGGGUCAUUGGAAACUGGAAAACUUGAGUGCAGAAGAGGAAAGUGGAAUUCCAUGUGUAGCGGUGAAAUGCGCAGAGAUAUGGAGGAACACCAGUGGCGAAGGCGAC
RNAcentral lists this ribosomal RNA (719 nucleotides) under Staphylococcus epidermidis. RNAcentral describes it as "bacterial SSU rRNA". It matches the Rfam family "Bacterial small subunit ribosomal RNA", at positions 24 to 725 of the family's 1533-position model. The record is from RNAcentral. Lineage: Bacteria; Bacillati; Bacillota; Bacilli; Caryophanales; Staphylococcaceae.